AGAACGAACGCUGGCGGCAUGCCUAAUACAUGCAAGUCGAACGAACUCUUCGGAGUUAGUGGCGCACGGGUGCGUAACGCGUGGGAAUCUGCCCCUUGGUUCGGAAUAACAGUUGGAAACGACUGCUAAUACCGGAUGAUGACGAAAGUCCAAAGAUUUAUCGCCAAGGGAUGAGCCCGCGUAGGAUUAGCUAGUUGUGAGGUAAAGCUCACCAAGGCAACGAUCCUUAGCUGGUCUGAGAGGAUGAUCAGCCACACUGGGACUGAGACACGGCCCAGACUCCGACGGGAGGCAGCAGUAGGGAAUAGUGGACAGUGGACGAAAGCCUGAUCCAGACAAUCGCCGCGUGAGUGAUAGAA
RNAcentral lists this ribosomal RNA (359 nucleotides) under uncultured soil bacterium. Its description in RNAcentral is "bacterial SSU rRNA". It matches the Rfam family "Bacterial small subunit ribosomal RNA", at positions 26 to 413 of the family's 1533-position model. The record is from RNAcentral.